Molecule: long non-coding RNA, 429 nt
Filed under: Homo sapiens (human)
Lineage: Eukaryota; Metazoa; Chordata; Mammalia; Primates; Hominidae
Description: HSALNT0120073
Source: RNAcentral
GCCACUCAGGUACAUAAGAGUCAGUCAGCAGUUCCAAUUAGAGGAUCGGAAAAGAAAUGGGAUUCUAGGGGAGAGUGGAACCAAUGGCUGGGCUGGAACCUGCAUGCCAGCACCUCCCCCACAUGCUGUUGGUCAAGCCAGAUUCAAGAGAUGGGGAAACAGACUCCGCCUCUGGAUGCCGCAAAGUCCCACGGCAAAGGGCAGGAAUAUAGAGAUCCUCUGGGACUUUUCAAAAUGCCCCAAUUCAAGGAAAGCUCUGAGGAUGUAGUAAUUAUAAUCCCAGGUCAGCUGGGAAGGAAGAAAAAGAAGGAAAGAAGAAAAACAGGAGGAACACACAAUCUCCAAAUACAUAUUUCUAUUGUAAUAGUAUAGUGUGAGUAAAUAUUGUGUGCUUUAUUCAAUUUUCCUAAAUGCAUAAAAUAAAAAUAU